Molecule: transfer RNA, 73 nt
Filed under: Schizosaccharomyces pombe (fission yeast)
Lineage: Eukaryota; Fungi; Ascomycota; Schizosaccharomycetes; Schizosaccharomycetales; Schizosaccharomycetaceae
Description: tRNA Arginine
Rfam family: tRNA
About the family: Transfer RNA (tRNA) molecules are approximately 80 nucleotides in length.
Source: Rfam by way of RNAcentral
GGGUGUGUAGCCUAAUGGUUAAGGCGUUGGUUUUCGGCACCAAAGACUGCAGGUUCGAGUCCUGUCACACUCG